RNAcentral lists this ribosomal RNA (1077 nucleotides) under Triticum aestivum (bread wheat). Its description in RNAcentral is "partial small subunit ribosomal RNA". Lineage: Eukaryota; Viridiplantae; Streptophyta; Magnoliopsida; Poales; Poaceae. The record is from RNAcentral.
AUGUGGUACCCUUGCGAGACCAUGCAACAGGAUGCUAUGCGAGUGAUGGAGAAAGGCAAGGGCGUGAUAGCUGUGACAGAGGAGAACAAGGUGGAGGCGCUAGAGAACAAGAUGUCAACCCAUGAAACAGUGAUCACACCAAGCACCAGACAUGAUUGGACCCAUGAGGAACACUGUGCUCUUCGGUCCGCCAUGAAUGCAAGAGUUAGUGUACAAGAGCCAAGGUCAAUAAUCGCUGGGUUCAACAACAAGGAAAGUAGCUCUGAUGGUGCCAAUCAAAACACCUACAAUAAGAAGCCCGACACUAAGCUCCGCAUGUGGUACCCUUGCGAGACCACGCAACAGGAUGCUAUUCGAGUGAUGGAGAAAGGAAAGGGUGUGAUAUCUAUGAUAGAGGAGAACAAGGUGGAGGCACUAGAGAACAAGAUGUCAACCCAUCAACCAGUGAUCGCACCAAGCGCCAGAAACUAUUGGACCCAGGAGGAACACUGGUCUCUCUGGUAUGCCAUGAAUGCGAGAGUUGGAGUAGAGGAGCCAGGGUCAAUCAUCACUAGGUUCAACAACAAGGAAAGUAGCCAUGUUGAUGAGAAUAAUAGCAAGUACAAUAACAAGCCCGACACAGAGCUCCACAUGAAGUACCAUUGCGAGACCAUGCAACAGGAGGAUAUGCGAGUGAUGGAGAAAAGCAAGGAUGUGAUAGCUAUGUCAGAGGAGAACAAUAUUGAGGUGCUAGAGAACGAGAUGUCCAUCCAUCAACCAGUAACUGCACCAAGCGCCAGAAUUUAUUGGACCAAGGAGGAACAUCGGAACUUUCUCCAUGGAUUGAGUGUCUAUGGCCGUGGGAAAUGGAAGGAAAUAUCGAAGGAUUUCGUCACCACCAAGACUCCUGUGCAGGUUUCAAGCCACGCACAUAAGUACUUCAAGAGGCUAGAGAGAAAAAAUCUUAGGCGGCGCUACAGCAUCAACGAUCUAGGGCUUGAAAUUGCCGAACCAUGGAUAAUGGAGAAUAGCUCUAGUGCCCGACAAACUCGCAUCCUUGGGAAUCUUAACAACCAGAACCCAAGUUUUGGAUUGUGA